CAGCAGCCGCGGUAACACGAAGGGGGCUAGCGUUGUUCGGAAUUACUGGGCGUAAAGGGCGCGUAGGCGGCCAUUCAAGUUAGAUGUGAAAGCCCUGGGCUCAACCUAGGAAUUGCAUUUGAUACUGUUUGGCUUGAGUUCGGGAGAGGUGAGUGGAAUUCCCAGUGUAGAGGUGAAAUUCGUAGAUAUUGGGAAGAACGCCGGUGGCGAAGGCGGCGACCUGGUCCUUGACUGACGCUGAGGCGCGAAAGCGUGGGGAGCAAACAGGAUUAGAUACCCGGUAGUCCCUGUCUCUUAUACA
Molecule: ribosomal RNA, 301 nt
Filed under: uncultured bacterium
Lineage: Bacteria
Description: partial 16S ribosomal RNA
Rfam family: Bacterial small subunit ribosomal RNA
Source: RNAcentral